RNAcentral lists this ribosomal RNA (301 nucleotides) under uncultured bacterium. RNAcentral's name for it is "partial 16S ribosomal RNA". It matches the Rfam family "Bacterial small subunit ribosomal RNA", at positions 509 to 810 of the family's 1533-position model. The record is from RNAcentral.
CAGCGCCGCGGUAAUACAGAGGGUGCGAGCGUUAAUCGGAUUUACUGGGCGUAAAGCGUGCGUAGGCGGCUUCUUAAGUCGGAUGUGAAAUCCCUGAGCUUAACUUAGGAAUUGCAUUCGAUACUGGGAAGCUAGAGUAUGGGAGAGGAUGGUAGAAUUCCAGGUGUAGCGGUGAAAUGCGUAGAGAUCUGGAGGAAUACCGAUGGCGAAGGCAGCCAUCUGGCCUAAUACUGACGCUGAGGUACGAAAGCAUGGGGAGCAAACAGGAUUAGAUACCCGCGUAGUCCCUGUCUCUAAUACA